GAGGAAUAUUGGUCAAUGGGCGAGAGCCUGAACCAGCCAAAUCGCGUGAAGGAAGAAGGUAUUAUGUAUUGUAAACUUCUUUUGUCGGGGGAUAAAAAGGGGCUCGUGAGCCCUGUUGCAUGUACCCGACGAAUAAGGAUCGGCUAACUCCGUGCCAGCAGCCGCGGUAAUACGGAGGAUCCGAGCGUUAUCCGGAUUUAUUGGGUUUAAAGGGUGCGUAGGCGGCUUGUUAAGUCAGUGGUGAAAGUCCAAGGCUCAACCUUGGAAUUGCCAUUGAAACUGGCAUGCUUGAGUACAGUAGAGGUAGGCGGAAUUCGUGGUGUAGCGGUGAAAUGCUUAGAUAUCACGAAGAACUCCGAUUGCGAAGGCAGCUUACUGGAGUGUAACUGACGCUGAGGCACGAAAGUGUGGGGAUCAAAC
RNAcentral lists this ribosomal RNA (420 nucleotides) under uncultured bacterium. RNAcentral's name for it is "bacterial SSU rRNA". It matches the Rfam family "Bacterial small subunit ribosomal RNA", at positions 356 to 773 of the family's 1533-position model. The record is from RNAcentral.